UACGUAGGGGGCAAGCGUUGUCCGGAAUCAUUGGGCGUAAAGAGCGUGUAGGCGGCUCGGUAAGUCCGCUGUGAAAGUCCAGGGCUCAACCCUGGAAUGCCGGUGGAAACUGUCGAGCUAGAGUCCGGAAGAGGCGAGUGGAAUUCCUGGUGUAGCGGUGAAAUGCGCAGAUAUCAGGAAGAACACCAAUGGCGAAAGCAGCUCUCUGGGACGGUACUGACGCUGAGACGCGAAAGCGUGGGGAGCGAACAGG
Molecule: ribosomal RNA, 253 nt
Filed under: uncultured bacterium
Lineage: Bacteria
Description: partial 16S ribosomal RNA
Rfam family: Bacterial small subunit ribosomal RNA
Source: RNAcentral